GUUUGCCUGUUUACGGAAGUAGGAUUAAAAAAAAAACAAAAAAUUUUAUUUUUUUUCCCAAAAUAUGUUUAUCGCUUGAGAUCUCAGACUAGAAUGAAAAUCGGUGGAGCUCACACAGGCUCGAGCAUUCUACAAAUCAAGAAAUUUUACCCAGAAGAAACCGUUGUGGUUAUCUCAAAAUCAAAUAGAAUUCCACUUCACCGCGUUUUUUGAAAUAUUUGAUGCUGCCGCUGAGGGUUCCCCUCCAUCGCCUCAAUGUCAUAAUUUAGCUGGAGGCGCAACAAGUCGGGAAAAGCUGGAUAUGCUGUCAUCAACACGCGGUCUUCCCGGAUUCGCCGACAGUGAAAAAAUGCUCAAUGGCUGCGGGGAAAGAUAGAAAAAAACGUUAAGCGACUUUUUCCUCAGCAUCUGGAACAUCAUUAUUCACAUGGCACAAUCCGGGAUUAUCGCACCGGGCAGUGAAAGGACGCAGUGAAGUGGAGGGAGCGGAGCAAAGACGGGCUCGAGUGAAAGUCAGGAGGCCAGAAAGCCCACCAGUAAGCAAUGGGGGAAGUAGACCAGGAAUAUUAAAAAAAAAAUAUUGACUCAAGUCGCAACAGGAAGAGACCCUGAAAAACUGAACAUGGAUAACUAAUAGUCAGGGACAAGCCUGCCACGCAAAAAGUUUGAGCACUUUUUGUGCAUGGCUUAGCGGGAAGGAUGUCCAUUACGAAGCUUCCUUGAUCGGUGUCCUCCAUUUCAUCCAAGAGCCAACUUCAUUAAUUCAAAAAAAUGGACUUUUGAUUAAUGUUAUUCAGGACUUGGACUAUAUAUCAGAGUGGGAUUACGAGAAAUUUUGGCAAAUUAGGGUAUAGCUGAAAAAAGAGAGUCCAGGUAUCCAUGGUUACUUAUUGUCUGUCUGACAGUCUGAUAGUCAAGCCAAUCCCCCACGAGAUGGUUCCCGACAGUGACAACUGCACCAAACAACAUCACCAUCGACAAAAUACAGAAAAACAAAAAGACUAAGGAGUAUUCAAAGACAAUGUCCGGCUGAAAGACCAAGGCCACCAACCCAACUAAAAUAUUUCUAAAAGCGGAGGGUCAGAGUUGA
RNAcentral lists this small RNA (1090 nucleotides) under Drosophila pseudoobscura pseudoobscura. RNAcentral's name for it is "GA31469". The record is from RNAcentral. Lineage: Eukaryota; Metazoa; Arthropoda; Insecta; Diptera; Drosophilidae.